AUGACUCUCGGCAACGGAUAUCUUGGUCCUCGCAUCGAUGAAGAACGUAGCGAAAUGCGAUACUUGGUGUGAAUUGCAGAAUCCCGUGAACCAUCGAGUCUUUGAACGCAAGUUGCGCCCUAAGCUUCCGGGCCGAGGGCAAGCCUGCGUGGG
RNAcentral lists this ribosomal RNA (153 nucleotides) under Potamogeton intortusifolius. Its description in RNAcentral is "5.8S ribosomal RNA". It matches the Rfam family "5.8S ribosomal RNA". From Rfam's summary of the family: 5.8S ribosomal RNA (5.8S rRNA) is a component of the large subunit of the eukaryotic ribosome. Lineage: Eukaryota; Viridiplantae; Streptophyta; Magnoliopsida; Alismatales; Potamogetonaceae. The record is from RNAcentral.